AUUGAACGCUGGCGGCAGGCCUAACACAUGCAAGUCGAGCGGAUGAAGGGAGCUUGCUCCUGGAUUCAGCGGCGGACGGGUGAGUAAUGCCUAGGAAUCUGCCUGGUAGUGGGGGAUAACGUCCGGAAACGGGCGCUAAUACCGCAUACGUCCUGAGGGAGAAAGUGGGGGAUCUUCGGACCUCACGCUAUCAGAUGAGCCUAGGUCGGAUUAGCUAGUUGGUGGGGUAAAGGCCUACCAAGGCGACGAUCCGUAACUGGUCUGAGAGGAUGAUCAGUCACACUGGAACUGAGACACGGUCCAGACUCCUACGGGAGGCAGCAGUGGGGAAUAUUGGACAAUGGGCGAAAGCUUGAUCCAGCCAUGCCGCGUGUGUGAAGAAGGUCUUCGGAUUGUAAAGCACUUUAAGUUGGGAGGAAGGGCAGUAAGUUAAUACCUUGCUGUUUUGACGUUACCAGCAGAAUAAGCACCGGCUAACUUCGUG
Molecule: ribosomal RNA, 484 nt
Filed under: uncultured bacterium
Lineage: Bacteria
Description: partial 16S ribosomal RNA
Rfam family: Bacterial small subunit ribosomal RNA
Source: RNAcentral